AUGUUUAGUACACAUUAUGAGAGGUGAUUCGAUUAGACUAGGAUCUAAAGAAUGAUGGGAUCAUAUUAGAAUUCAACACAUGAUUAAAUUGGACUAGGACACCAAAAGAUACACAACUCUUAAACCUGUAGCACAAAGUGUAAAGAUGUUAAAUAUGUAUUGAAUCAGAUCAGAUUAGAACCUCAGAGGUUAUACAAUCC
RNAcentral lists this long non-coding RNA (200 nucleotides) under Glycine max (soybean). RNAcentral describes it as "long non-coding RNA (GMAX_LNC003621)". The record is from RNAcentral. Lineage: Eukaryota; Viridiplantae; Streptophyta; Magnoliopsida; Fabales; Fabaceae.